This 319-nucleotide long non-coding RNA is filed under the name Salvia miltiorrhiza (redroot sage). RNAcentral describes it as "long non-coding RNA (SMIL_LNC014065)". The record is from RNAcentral. Lineage: Eukaryota; Viridiplantae; Streptophyta; Magnoliopsida; Lamiales; Lamiaceae.
GCUCCGAAAACAAAAUCUCCCCAUUUAUUCCAGUAAAAUAGAAUAGAACAUUUGAAAGAAAGCAACAAUGAUCGUUCAACAACGCAACUGGCUGAUUUACAAUACCUUUUAUUGCUCUAAAAUUCAAAACUUUCAGACAACAAAGUUCAAGACAGUAGAGCUCACAAGGAGAGUACAAACUAACUUUCACAAUAAUCUACUUAUCAUGAUUAAAAUGAUAAACAAGUAAUCGGAAUGAGAAAUGCAUACACAGAGCUGUAGAAUUCAAUGUGCAUAAUUGAUGCUUCAGUAUUUCUUCGACUACAUGACACGAAAUUAU